Molecule: unclassified non-coding RNA, 99 nt
Organism: Carlito syrichta (Philippine tarsier)
Lineage: Eukaryota; Metazoa; Chordata; Mammalia; Primates; Tarsiidae
Source: Ensembl
CGCCUGGUCUUCUGGAGCCGAGGACUCGGGAAACCCGUGCAGUUGAGGCAAGCCUCGGGCUACUUCAGAGGCGCUGACAUCCGAGGAGCCCUCUCCUGG